AGUGAACGCUGGCGGUAGGCCUAACACAUGCAAGUCGAACGGCAGCACAGUAAGAGCUUGCUCUUACGGGUGGCGAGUGGCGGACGGGUGAGGAAUACAUCGGAAUCUACUUUUUCGUGGGGGAUAACGUAGGGAAACUUACGCUAAUACCGCAUACGACCUACGGGUGAAAGCAGGGGAUCUUCGGACCUUGCGCGAUUGAAUGAGCCGAUGUCGGAUUAGCUAGUUGGCGGGGUAAAGGCCCACGAAGGCGACGAUCCGUAGCUGGUCUGAGAGGAUGAUCAGCCACACUGGAACUGAGACACGGUCCAGACUCCUACGGGAGGCAGCAGUGGGGAAUAUUGGACAAUGGGCGCAAGCCUGAUCCAGCCAUACCGCGUGGGUGAAGAAGGCCUUCGGGUUGUAAAGCCCUUUUGUUGGGAAAGAAAAGCAGCAGGUUAAUACCCCGCUGUUCUGACGGUACCCAAAGAAUAAGCACCGGCUAACUUCGAG
RNAcentral lists this ribosomal RNA (492 nucleotides) under uncultured bacterium. RNAcentral's name for it is "partial 16S ribosomal RNA". It matches the Rfam family "Bacterial small subunit ribosomal RNA", at positions 29 to 507 of the family's 1533-position model. The record is from RNAcentral.